Molecule: ribosomal RNA, 467 nt
Filed under: uncultured bacterium
Lineage: Bacteria
Description: bacterial SSU rRNA
Rfam family: Bacterial small subunit ribosomal RNA
Source: RNAcentral
UCCAGACUCCUACGGGAGGCAGCAGUGAGGAAUAUUGGUCAAUGGGCGCGAGCCUGAACCAGCCAAGUCGCGUGAGGGAAGACGGUCCUAUGGAUUGUAAACCUCUUUUGUCGGGGAGCAAAAGACGCCACGUGUGGCGUUCCGAGAGUACCCGAAGAAAAAGCAUCGGCUAACUCCGUGCCAGCAGCCGCGGUAAUACGUAGGGGGCAAGCGUUAUCCGGAUUUACUGGGUGUAAAGGGGGCGCAGACGGCGAUGCAAGCCAGGAGUGAAAGCCCGGGGCCCAACCCCGGGACUGCUCUUGGAACUGCGUGGCUGGAGUGCAGGAGGGGCAGGCGGAAUUCCUGGUGUAGCGGUGAAAUGCGUAGAUAUCAGGAGGAACACCGGUGGCGAAGGCGGCCUGCUGGACUGCAACUGACGUUGAGGCCCGAAAGCGUGGGGAGCAAACAGGAUUAGAUACCCCUGUACU